GAUGCAGUUUGAUUAAAGGAUUGAAUUGCAUGGUAACUUGCCACUAAAGGGUAUUUUUGGUAUUUCCACCAAGUUUCAUAUUUUUUCGGUAGACAUGACACGUUGCUAGACGUCAAUCUUGUCUUAUAAGUUUGAUUGAAUUAAAGAGAUUAAUUCGAUCACCAAUUAGAAAGAAUUCUAAUUGUUAAGUUCGGGAUCGCGCAGUUUGGACCUAAAUCGAUUAGAAGAGUUCUAAUCAAGUUGGGUCGACUCGCACUCACACCUAUUGCUGGCUAAGUAUGGAACCCAAUGGGUCACACACAAGAAAACUUAUCAAGGAUCUAAUUGGAUUAGAUCAUGUUUGUAAGAUAGACAUCCUAGCAGGUGUUGCAAACCCUUAGCUCCUGAUUCGAAUUGGAUUCGAAUCUGAUUCUUAAUUGAUCUAAUUUGAUUAGAUCAUGUUCUAAUAU
RNAcentral lists this long non-coding RNA (449 nucleotides) under Phoenix dactylifera (date palm). RNAcentral describes it as "long non-coding RNA (PDAC_LNC008278)". Lineage: Eukaryota; Viridiplantae; Streptophyta; Magnoliopsida; Arecales; Arecaceae. The record is from RNAcentral.